AACGCCAAGAACCUUACCAGGUCUUGACACCCUGCUGACCGGUGAGUAAUGUCACCUUUCCUUCGGGACAGCAGAGACAGGUGGUGCAUGGUUGCCGUCAGCUCGUGUCGUGAGAUGUUGGGUUAAGUCCCGCAACGAGCGCAACCCUUAUUGUCAGUAGCCAGCAUUAUGGAUGGGCACUCUGAUGAGACUGCCAGGGAUAACCUGGAGGAAGGUGGGGAUGACGUCAAAUCAUCAUGCCCCUUAUGACUUGGGCUACACACGUGCUACAAUGGCGUAAACAAAGGGAAGCGAGCCCGCGAGGGGGAGCAAAUCCCAAAAAUAACGUCCCAGUUCGGAUUGUAAUCUGCAACCCGACUACAUGAAGCUGGAAUCGCUAGUAAUCGCGGAUCAGCAUGCCGCGGUGAAUACGUUCCCGGGCCUUGUACACACC
Molecule: ribosomal RNA, 433 nt
Filed under: uncultured bacterium
Lineage: Bacteria
Description: bacterial SSU rRNA
Rfam family: Bacterial small subunit ribosomal RNA
Source: RNAcentral